Dermacentor andersoni is the source of this 184-nucleotide small nuclear RNA. RefSeq annotates it as U2 spliceosomal RNA. Lineage: Eukaryota; Metazoa; Arthropoda; Arachnida; Ixodida; Ixodidae. The record is from RefSeq and is a predicted model, not a curated record.
ACACGGCCGACGCGGGUCAAAGUGUAGUAUCUGUUCUUAUCAGCUUAGUAUGUGAUACGGGUUCUAUUUGGACCGAAGAUAUUCAACUUAUUUUUGCAAGUUGGUGGAGUGCUUGAAGCGCGCUUCGCCUCCGCCGUGGGUCGGCCGGGUAAAACUCUUGCUUGGGCUAGUUGGUUCAUGCUUG